This 459-nucleotide ribosomal RNA is filed under the name uncultured bacterium. RNAcentral describes it as "partial 16S ribosomal RNA". It matches the Rfam family "Bacterial small subunit ribosomal RNA", at positions 338 to 795 of the family's 1533-position model. The record is from RNAcentral.
CCUACGGGUGGCAGCAGUGAGGAAUAUUGGUCAAUGGCCGCAGGGCUGAACCAGCCAAGCCGCGUGAGGGAUGACGGUCCUAUGGAUUGUAAACCGCUUUUGUCAGGGAGCAAAGGGCGCCACGUGUGGCGCUUUGCGAGUACCGUAAGAAAAAGCAUCGGCUAACUCCGUGCCAGCAGCCGCGGUAAUACGGAGGAUGCGAGCGUUAUCCGGAUUUAUUGGGUUUAAAGGGUGCGCAGGCGGAAUGUCAAGUCAGCGGUAAAAUUUCGGGGCUCAACCCCGUCGGGCCGUUGAAACUGGCGUUCUUGAGUGGGCGAGAGGUAUGCGGAAUGCGUGGUGUAGCGGUGAAAUGCAUAGAUAUCACGCAGAACCCCGAUUGCGAAGGCAGCAUACCGGCGCCAAACUGACGCUGAGGCACGAAAGCGUGGGUAUCGAACAGGAUUAGAUACCCCAGUAGUC